GACGAACGCUGGCGGCGUGCUUAACACAUGCAAGUCGAACGCUGAAGCUUGGUGCUUGCACUGGGUGGAUGAGUGGCGAACGGGUGAGUAAUACGUGAGUAACCUGCCCUUGACUCUGGGAUAAGCCUGGGAAACUGGGUCUAAUACUGGAUACGACAUGUCACCGCAUGGUGGUGUGUGGAAAGGGUUUUACUGGUUUUGGAUGGGCUCACGGCCUAUCAGCUUGUUGGUGGGGUAAUGGCUCACCAAGGCGACGACGGGUAGCCGGCCUGAGAGGGUGACCGGCCACACUGGGACUGAGACACGGCCCAGACUCCUACGGGAGGCAGCAGUGGGGAAUAUUGCACAAUGAGCGAAAGCCUGAUGCAGCGACGCCGCGUGAGGGAUGACGGCCUUCGGGUUGUAAACCUCUUUCAGCACGGAAGAAGCGAAAGUGACGGUACGUGCAGAAGAAGCGCCGGCUAACUACGUG
RNAcentral lists this ribosomal RNA (472 nucleotides) under uncultured bacterium. RNAcentral's name for it is "partial 16S ribosomal RNA". It matches the Rfam family "Bacterial small subunit ribosomal RNA", at positions 28 to 507 of the family's 1533-position model. The record is from RNAcentral.